UGAGUUUGCAUCUCCACAAAUGAGAUUUUUACCAUACAACAACUAUUCAACUGUUAAUGUAUACAAGUGAAGGGUCCAGAAAGGAAAGAAGAGCUGCUGCUUAAGUUCUCACAUUAAUACUUUUGGAGCGCAGCCAGUGUCUGAUGACAAGACGCCAGAAAACCAAUCGGAAGACGCAAAUAAAAGUAUCUCUGGUGAUUUAUAUCCUCCCACCAAAGUGCUUCAAACUGUAUAUUCCCUUGGUGAUGAUUUUGGUCACAUAGGUAAACAAACUUUUAUAUGUCCUGGGAAAGUCAUAGAAAGUAUUCAUGUUGUUAGGUGCAAUAAAUGCGAAAGUAAUGUUUUAGAUGUCGCUUUGGAACCAAAUGGUGUACAGAAUACCAGCAUGACCCAAAGAACUGAAGUAGUCAACCACUUUGGAGAUGAUGGAUAUUCCGAAUACUCAAAACUGAAUUCACCUUCAGCAGAUUAAACAUCAUUUUCUUCAAUAGAUGUUUAUUAAUCAAGUCCUCCAUUUAUUCAAAGAGUAGAAAUUUCUGAUAGCAUG
Hibiscus syriacus is the source of this 547-nucleotide long non-coding RNA. RefSeq lists it as uncharacterized. The transcript has 3 exons. Lineage: Eukaryota; Viridiplantae; Streptophyta; Magnoliopsida; Malvales; Malvaceae. The record is from RefSeq and is a predicted model, not a curated record.